GUCUGGCUAGCCCAGUCGGUAGAGCAUGAGACUCUUAAUCUCAGGCUCGUGGGUUCGAGCCCCACGUUGGGCA
RNAcentral lists this transfer RNA (73 nucleotides) under Danio rerio (zebrafish). It matches the Rfam family "tRNA". Rfam says of the family: Transfer RNA (tRNA) molecules are approximately 80 nucleotides in length. Their secondary structure includes four short double-helical elements and three loops (D, anti-codon, and T loops). Further hydrogen bonds mediate the characteristic L-shaped molecular structure. tRNAs have two regions of fundamental functional importance: the anti-codon, which is responsible for specific mRNA codon recognition, and the 3' end, to which the tRNAs corresponding amino acid is attached (by aminoacyl-tRNA synthetases). tRNAs cope with the degeneracy of the genetic code in two manners: having more than one tRNA (with a specific anti-codon) for a particular amino acid; and 'wobble' base-pairing, i.e. permitting non-standard base-pairing at the 3rd anti-codon position. Lineage: Eukaryota; Metazoa; Chordata; Actinopteri; Cypriniformes; Danionidae. The record is from Rfam by way of RNAcentral.